CCUACGGGAGGCAGCAGUGAGGAAUAUUGCACAAUGGGCGCAAGCCUGAUGCAGCGACGCCGCGUGGGGGAUGAAGGCCUUCGGGUUGUAAACUCCUUUCGCCAGGGACGAAGCUUUUGUGACGGUACCUGGAGAAGAAGCACCGGCUAACUACGUGCCAGCAGCCGCGGUA
This 172-nucleotide ribosomal RNA is filed under the name uncultured bacterium. Its description in RNAcentral is "partial 16S ribosomal RNA". It matches the Rfam family "Bacterial small subunit ribosomal RNA", at positions 338 to 522 of the family's 1533-position model. The record is from RNAcentral.